UACGUAGGGUGCAAGCGUUGUCCGGAAUUACUAGGCGUAAAAGAGUUCGUAGGCGGUUUGUCGCGUCGUUCGUGAAAACUUGGGGCUUAACUCCAAGCGUGCGGGCGAUACGGGCAGACUUGAGUACUACAGGGGAGACUGGAAUUCCUGGUGUAGCGGUGAAAUGCGCAGAUAUCAGGAGGAACACCGGUGGCGAAGGCGGGUCUCUGGGCCGAUACUGACGCUGAGGAGCGAAAGCGUGGGGAGCGAACAGG
RNAcentral lists this ribosomal RNA (254 nucleotides) under uncultured bacterium. Its description in RNAcentral is "partial 16S ribosomal RNA". It matches the Rfam family "Bacterial small subunit ribosomal RNA", at positions 524 to 776 of the family's 1533-position model. The record is from RNAcentral.